Molecule: long non-coding RNA, 409 nt
Organism: Odocoileus virginianus texanus
Lineage: Eukaryota; Metazoa; Chordata; Mammalia; Artiodactyla; Cervidae
Source: RefSeq, a predicted model, not a curated record
GCUCCGCGGCAGGUGGACCGGUGGGCUGAUGAGUCGCGCGUACUGGCCCUCGUUCCGCCCAUCACUCUGCAGCCGCAGGAAGUUCCUGUCAUCUGGAGGGGGAAACAGACCCAAACAGAGGUCCCUGCCAGCCAAGGUUGGACUGCUGCCCGCUCUUCGAGAUUGCUCUGAAAAGCCCUCUCAAACCGCAGGCUGUGAUGAAUCAAGCGGAAUGAGGGCAAGGAUGAGGAUCCCCAGCCAGUAGCUGGGGUUGACUGGUGGGGCAUCAGGAGCAUUGAAAGCUAACUCGUGAUGUGCUGGAGCAACAUCUACUCCGUACUGGCUUGAGAGAGCCGAUUGUGGAAUUUUCUGGAAUUUUAUCAGCCAGUUGUUGAAACACAAGCAUUACCAAUGGAACAAUAUAAAGUUA